This 656-nucleotide ribosomal RNA is filed under the name uncultured bacterium. Its description in RNAcentral is "bacterial SSU rRNA". It matches the Rfam family "Bacterial small subunit ribosomal RNA", at positions 89 to 743 of the family's 1533-position model. The record is from RNAcentral.
UAGAGACCGGCGCACGGGUGCGUAACGCGUAUGCAAUCUACCUUUUACAGAGGGAUAGCCCAGAGAAAUUUGGAUUAAUACCUCAUAGCAUUAUGAAGUGGCAUCACUUUAUAAUUAAAGUCACAACGGUAAAAGAUGAGCAUGCGUCCCAUUAGCUUGUUGGUAAGGUAACGGCUUACCAAGGCAACGAUGGGUAGGGGUCCUGAGAGGGAGAUCCCCCACACUGGUACUGAGACACGGACCAGACUCCUACGGGAGGCAGCAGUGAGGAAUAUUGGUCAAUGGGCGCAAGCCUGAACCAGCCAUGCCGCGUGCAGGAUGAAGCAUCUAUGGUGUGUAAACUGCUUUUGUACGAGAAGAAACACUCCUACGUGUAGGAGCCUGACGGUAUCGUAAGAAUAAGGACCGGCUAACUCCGUGCCAGCAGCCGCGGUAAUACGGAGGGUCCAAGCGUUAUCCGGAAUCAUUGGGUUUAAAGGGUCCGUAAGCGGUUUUGUAAGUCAGUGGUGAAAGCCCAUCGCUCAACGGUGGAACGGCCAUUGAUACUGCAAGACUUGAAUUAUUGGGAAGCAACUAGAAUAUGUAGUGUAGCGGUGAAAUGCUUAGAGAUUACAUGGAAUACCAAUUGCGAAGGCGGGUUGCUACCAAUAUAUUGA